GGUUUUUGAUGGUGGUUUUGUCUUUUUUCUUUUUUAUUUAUUUCCGCUAAAUCUUUGAAAAAUCAUAAUAAAUUAUAGAAAAAUCAUAAAAUGAAAAUUUCAAUUUUGUUGGACUUCUGAUGAGUAGAUCUACACAGUGAAUAUAUAAUAUGGUAUACUAUAGUAUAAAGUUUUUGUUGUAGCUUUAAAUCUAUGUUUUUCUGUAAUUAAAUCGAAUAAUUCAUAUAUGCAGUUCCUAUGAUCCAAUUGUGGUGAAAUUUUUAUGGUGCGCUCAUUAUUGUAUGCUUG
RNAcentral lists this long non-coding RNA (288 nucleotides) under Sorghum bicolor (sorghum). Its description in RNAcentral is "long non-coding RNA (SBIC_LNC014638)". Lineage: Eukaryota; Viridiplantae; Streptophyta; Magnoliopsida; Poales; Poaceae. The record is from RNAcentral.